GAUGAACGCUGGCGGCGUGCCUAAUACAUGCAAGUCGAGCGAACGGACGAGAAGCUUGCUUUUCUGAUGUUAGCGGCGGACGGGUGAGUAACACGUGGAUAACCUACCUAUAAGACUGGGAUAACUUCGGGAAACCGGAGCUAAUACCGGAUAAUAUUUUGAACCGCAUGGUUAAAAAGUGAAAGACGGUCUUGCUGUCACUUAUAGAUGGAUCCGCGCUGCAUUAGCUAGUUGGUAAGGUAACGGCUUACCAAGGCAACGAUGCAUAGCCGACCUGAGAGGGUGAUCGGCCACACUGGAACUGAGACACGGUCCAGACUCCUACGGGAGGCAGCAGUAGGGAAUCUUCCGCAAAGGGCGAAAGCCUGACGGAGCAACGCCGCGUGAGUGAUGAAGGUCUUCGGAUCGUAAAACUCUGUUAUUAGGGAAGAACAUACGUGUAAGUAACUGUGCACAUCUUGACGGUACCUAAUCAGAAAGCCACGGCUAACUACGUG
RNAcentral lists this ribosomal RNA (497 nucleotides) under uncultured bacterium. RNAcentral describes it as "partial 16S ribosomal RNA". It matches the Rfam family "Bacterial small subunit ribosomal RNA", at positions 28 to 507 of the family's 1533-position model. The record is from RNAcentral.